UACGGAGGGAGCUAGCGUUGUUCGGAAUUACUGGGCGUAAAGCGCACGUAGGCGGCUUUGUAAGUUAGAGGUGAAAGCCCGGAGCUCAACUCCGGAACUGCCUUUAAGACUGCAUCGCUAGAAUCCGGGAGAGGUGAGUGGAAUUCCGAGUGUAGAGGUGAAAUUCGUAGAUAUUCGGAAGAACACCAGUGGCGAAGGCGGCUCACUGGACCGGUAUUGACGCUGAGGUGCGAAAGCGUGGGGAGCAAACAGG
This 253-nucleotide ribosomal RNA is filed under the name uncultured bacterium. RNAcentral's name for it is "partial 16S ribosomal RNA". It matches the Rfam family "Bacterial small subunit ribosomal RNA", at positions 524 to 776 of the family's 1533-position model. The record is from RNAcentral.